CCUACGGGUGACAGCAGUAGGGAAUCUUUCACAAUGGGCGAAAGCCUGAUGGAGCAACGCCGCGUGCAGGAUGAAGGCCUUCGGGUUGUAAACUGCUUUUAUAAGCGAGAAAUAUGAUGGUAACUUAUGAAUAAGGAUCGGCUAACUACGUGCCAGCAGCCGCGGUCAUACGUAGGAUCCGAGCAUUAUCCGGAGUGACUGGGUGUAAAGAGUUGCGUAGGUGACAUAAUAAGUAGCUAGUGAAAUCUGGUGGCUCAACCAUUCAGACUAUUAGCUAAACUGUUAAGCUCGAGACCGUUAGGGGUAACUGGAAUUUCUAGUGUAGGAGUGAAAUCCGUAGAUAUUAGAAGGAACACCAAUAGCGUAGGCAGGUUGCUGGGACGGUUCUGACACUAAGGCACGAAAGCGUAGGGAGCAAACGGGAUUAGAUACCCGAGUAGUC
RNAcentral lists this ribosomal RNA (442 nucleotides) under uncultured bacterium. Its description in RNAcentral is "partial 16S ribosomal RNA". It matches the Rfam family "Bacterial small subunit ribosomal RNA", at positions 338 to 795 of the family's 1533-position model. The record is from RNAcentral.